This is a long non-coding RNA of Alosa alosa (allis shad), 333 nucleotides long. RefSeq lists it as uncharacterized. The transcript has 3 exons. The record is from RefSeq and is a predicted model, not a curated record. Lineage: Eukaryota; Metazoa; Chordata; Actinopteri; Clupeiformes; Clupeidae.
AUGUCGGAUCCGCGGGCGCGGACGCGCCUUUACUGUAACGGUUGAACAUGACUGUACACCAAGAGCCAAGAAGAGUCAUACUAGUGGAUAUUUUCUUUGCUGGGACACGGUUGCGCUGAACCCUCUCGACGUCAACUUUUAUCGGCUGGAUUCUAGCAUCUAACGUUACGAUUGCCUCUGUUGGGUUUGCUUGAUCAACCAUCGUUUCGGGGACUCUGAUGACAGUGAAGAGCCAGAAAAUGGUGACUUUGCAUCUCUGAGGUACCUUCCAACUCGCCUGGUAUAUCAGUUGAAGCCUCAAGCCCAAGCCAAUUGCACUGGCAAAGUAAGUAA